UUGAACGCUAGCGGCAUGCUUAACACAUGCAAGUCGAACGGCAGCAGACGAUAGCUUGCUAUUGUGCUGGCGAGUGGCGAACGGGUGAGUAACGCGUAGGGAUCUACCUUAAAGUGGGGACAACCCGGGGAAACUCGGGCUAAUACCGCAUAAGCUCUCAGGAGUAAAGAAGGCCUCUGUAUAUGCUUUCGCUUUAGGAUGAACCUGCGUCCGAUUAGCUUGUUGGUGGGUAAAGGCCUACCAAGGCGACGAUCGGUAGCUGUUCUGAGAGGAAGAUCAGCCACACUGGGACUGAGACACGGCCCAGACUCCUACGGGAGGCAGCAGUGGGGAAUAUU
RNAcentral lists this ribosomal RNA (338 nucleotides) under uncultured bacterium. RNAcentral describes it as "bacterial SSU rRNA". It matches the Rfam family "Bacterial small subunit ribosomal RNA", at positions 30 to 365 of the family's 1533-position model. The record is from RNAcentral.